RNAcentral lists this long non-coding RNA (1464 nucleotides) under Oryctolagus cuniculus (rabbit). Its description in RNAcentral is "lncRNA (ENSOCUG00000032310.1)". The record is from RNAcentral. Lineage: Eukaryota; Metazoa; Chordata; Mammalia; Lagomorpha; Leporidae.
AGAUCUCAAAUGAAUGACAUUACAUAGUGAUUCCGUGUAUAUGACAUCCUGGAAAAGGUGAAAUUACAGGACACCUUGCAGGUGGGUAUCAGGACAGACUGAGGAAGGUUUUGGGGCAGGAGAUAUGAAAGUAUUCUAUAUUCUAGAAAUCUGAAUAUAGACCUACCAUAUGACCCAGCCAUCCACUCCUGGGAAGUUGCCCAAGAGAAAUGAAAUCAGCAUAUGAAAGAGUGAUCUGUACCCUCAUGUUUAUUGCAGCUCAAUUCACAAUAGCUAAGAUAUUGAAUCAACCCAAGUGCCCAUCAUCUGAAGACUGGAUAAAGAAAUUAUGGGAUAUGUACACCAUGGACCACUACACAGUGGUAAAAAAAGAAAAAAAUUAAGUUGUUUGCAACAAAAUGGAUGAAACUGGAAGUCAUAUUUAGUGAAAUAAGCCAGUCCCAAAAUGACAAAUACCAUAUGUUCUCCCUGAACUGUGAUAACUAAUAGAGCACCAAAAAGGCAACCUAUAGAAGUGAAAUUGACACUCUGAAUAGCCCUAGUCCUGACUGUUGAGGAACAGUGUUUUGUUUUUUUUUUCAUACUAUUUGUUGAACUUUUUACUUAACAGAGUUAAUCAUAUGUGUAUAAAGGUAAUUGAAAAUAGAUCUUAGUAAAAAAAAAUAAGAAUGGGAAUAGGAGAGGGUGGAGGAAGAGGGGUUGGGGGAAUGGUGGGUAGGGUGGGAAGAAUCACCGUGUUCUUAAAGUUGUAAUUAUGAAAUGUAUGAAGUUUGUAAAGGGUUUCUGGGGUGUGGGGAAAGUGUUCUGUAUUACUGUGACCAGCCUACCCCAAAGUUAGAAGCCGGACUCCCUCAUCCAACUGUACAGCCAAGAGAUAUGUGCUUGCUUGGCCCUGGAGUUGCAUGGUGUGGGGAACACAAGAGACCCAGAUCCUUCCAGCUGCGGGGCUCCCCAGAGAUGAGCAGGAGAAGGCAGGACACGAACUCUGCAAGGCACGAACUCUGCAGCACCCAAGUCAGGAACCAUCUUUCUCAGAGGGCCAUAAGGAUUAAAAACCGCCUGAACAGGGAGAGACAAGGAGCACAGGGAAGGACAUCUUCAGUAAUUCUGCAAGACGGCUUUGGGGACAACCAAUCAGAAGCAGCUGUGAGGACCUGCGCUGUGGCAUAGCAAGUUAAGGCUGCUGUCUGCAUCCCACGUGGACACUGGUUCGAGUCUCAGCUGCUUCAUUUCUGGUCCAGCUCCCUGCUAAUGAGCCUGGGAAAGCAGUAGAGGAUGGCCCAGGUCCUUGGGGCCCUGUACCCAAGGGUGAGCCUGGAUGAACCUCUUGGUUUUGGCCUGACCCAGCUCCGGCAUUGCAGCCAUUUUGGGAGCUAACCAGCAGAUGUAAGAUCUCUCUCCCCAAAUCCUCUCUCUGUAGCUCUGUAUUUCAGAUAAAUGAAAUAAAUACUUUAAAAAGAAGCA